Molecule: transfer RNA, 72 nt
Filed under: Camelus ferus (Wild Bactrian camel)
Lineage: Eukaryota; Metazoa; Chordata; Mammalia; Artiodactyla; Camelidae
Rfam family: tRNA
About the family: Transfer RNA (tRNA) molecules are approximately 80 nucleotides in length. Their secondary structure includes four short double-helical elements and three loops (D, anti-codon, and T loops). Further hydrogen bonds mediate the characteristic L-shaped molecular structure. tRNAs have two regions of fundamental functional importance: the anti-codon, which is responsible for specific mRNA codon recognition, and the 3' end, to which the tRNAs corresponding amino acid is attached (by aminoacyl-tRNA synthetases). tRNAs cope with the degeneracy of the genetic code in two manners: having more than one tRNA (with a specific anti-codon) for a particular amino acid; and 'wobble' base-pairing, i.e. permitting non-standard base-pairing at the 3rd anti-codon position.
Source: Rfam by way of RNAcentral
GAGGGUGUAGCUCAAUGGUGGAGCAUGUGCUUAGUGUGUAUGGGGUCCUGGGUUCAACUCCCAGGACCUCCA